This 468-nucleotide ribosomal RNA is filed under the name uncultured bacterium. Its description in RNAcentral is "partial 16S ribosomal RNA". It matches the Rfam family "Bacterial small subunit ribosomal RNA", at positions 28 to 507 of the family's 1533-position model. The record is from RNAcentral.
GACGAACGCUGGCGGCGUGCUUAACACAUGCAAGUCGAACGGAAAGGCCCUGCUUUUGUGGGGUGCUCGAGUGGCGAACGGGCGCGUAACACGUGCGUCACCUGCCCUUGAUUUUGGGAUAACUCCAGGAAACUGGGGCUAAUACCGGAUAGGAUCUCCUGCUGCAUGGUGGGGGUUGGAAAGUUUCGGUGGUUGUGGAUGGACUCGCAGCUUAUCAGCUUGUUGGUGGGCUAGUGGCUUACCAAGUCUUUGACGGGUAGCCGGCCUGAGAGGGUAACCGGCCACAUUGGGACUGAGAUACGGCCCAGACUCCUACGGGAUGCAGCAGUGAGGAAUAUUGCCCAAUGGGCGGAAGCCUGAUGCAGCAACGCCGCGUGCGGAAUGACGGCCUUCGGGUUGUAAACCGCUUUCGCAUGUGACGAAGCGUGAGUGACGGUAAUGGGUAGAGAAGCACCGGCUAACUACGUG